AGAAUCAACGCUGGCGGCGUGCCUAACACAUGCAAGUCGCACGAGAAAGGGGCUUCGGCCCUGAGUAAAGUGGCGCACGGGUGAGUAACACGUGAAUUAUCUACCUCCGAGUGGGGAAUAACUGAGAGAAAUCUUAGCUAAUACCGCGUAACACUCACGAGUCAAAGCAGCAAUGCGCUUGGAGAGGAGUUCGCGGCAGAUUAGCUAGUUGGCGGGUAAUGGCCCACCAAGGCGAUGAUCUGUA
Molecule: ribosomal RNA, 244 nt
Filed under: uncultured bacterium
Lineage: Bacteria
Description: partial small subunit ribosomal RNA
Rfam family: Bacterial small subunit ribosomal RNA
Source: RNAcentral